This 496-nucleotide ribosomal RNA is filed under the name uncultured bacterium. RNAcentral describes it as "partial 16S ribosomal RNA". It matches the Rfam family "Bacterial small subunit ribosomal RNA", at positions 28 to 506 of the family's 1533-position model. The record is from RNAcentral.
GAUGAACGCUGGCGGCGUGCCUAAUACAUGCAAGUCGAGCGAACAGAUGAGGAGCUUGCUCCUCUGACGUUAGCGGCGGACGGGUGAGUAACACGUGGAUAACCUACCUAUAAGACUGGGAUAACUUCGGGAAACCGGAGCUAAUACCGGAUAAUAUAUUGGACCGCAUGGUUCAAUAGUGAAAGACGGUUUUGCUGUCACUUAUAGAUGGAUCCGCGCCGCAUUAGCUAGUUGGUAAGGUAACGGCUUACCAAGGCAACGAUGCGUAGCCGACCUGAGAGGGUGAUCGGCCACACUGGAACUGAGACACGGUCCAGACUCCUACGGGAGGCAGCAGUAGGGAAUCUUCCGCAAUGGGCGAAAGCCUGACGGAGCAACGCCGCGUGAGUGAUGAAGGUCUUCGGAUCGUAAAACUCUGUUAUUAGGGAAGAACAAAUGUGUAAGUAACUAUGCACGUCUUGACGGUACCUAAUCAGAAAGCCACGGCUAACUACGU